GAUGAACGCUGGCGGCGUGCCUAAUACAUGCAAGUCGAGCGAACAGACGAGGAGCUUGCUCCUCUGACAUUAGCGGCGGACGGGUGAGUAACACGUGGAUAACCUACCUAUAAGACUGGGAUAACUUCGGGAAACCGGAGCUAAUACCGGAUAAUAUAUUGAACCGCAUGGUUCAAUAGUGAAAGACGGUUUUGCUGUCACUUCUAGAUGGAUCCGCGCCGCAUUAGCUAGUUGGUAAGGUAACGGCUUACCAAGGCAACGAUGCGUACCCGACCUGAGAGUGAUAUCGGCCAAGCGGGAAGUGAGACGGUGCCCUGAGCCCGUCGGGAGGGAGGAGUAUGGAAGGUUCCGCUAUUGGCGAAAGCCGGACAGAGCAGCUCCGCUAGAGUCAUGAAGGUCUUCCGAUCGUAAAACCCUGUGAUUAGGGAAGAACAAAUGUGUAAGUAACUAUGCACGUCUAGACGGUACCUAAGCAGAAAGCCACGGCUAACUACGUG
RNAcentral lists this ribosomal RNA (497 nucleotides) under uncultured bacterium. Its description in RNAcentral is "partial 16S ribosomal RNA". It matches the Rfam family "Bacterial small subunit ribosomal RNA", at positions 28 to 507 of the family's 1533-position model. The record is from RNAcentral.